CCUACGGGUGGCUGCAGUGGGGAAUAUUGGACAAUGGGCGAAAGCCUGAUCCAGCCAUGCCGCGUGUGUGAAGAUGGCCUUCGGGUUGUAAAGCACUUUCAGUGGGGAAGAAAGCCUUGGGGCUAAUACCCUCGAGGAAGGACAUCACCCACAGAAGAAGCACCGGCUAACUCCGUGCCAGCAGCCGCGGUAAUACGGAGGGUGCGAGCGUUAAUCGGAAUUACUGGGCGUAAAGCGCGCGUAGGCGGUCUGAUAAGCCGGUUGUGAAAGCCCCGGGCUCAACCUGGGAACGGCAUCCGGAACUGUCAGGCUAGAGUGCAGGAGAGGAAGGUAGAAUUCCCGGUGUAGCGGUGAAAUGCGUAGAGAUCGGGAGGAAUACCAGUGGCGAAGGCGGCCUUCUGGACUGACACUGACGCUGAGGUGCGAAAGCGUGGGUAGCAAACAGGAUUAGAUACCCUAGUAGUC
This 465-nucleotide ribosomal RNA is filed under the name Vreelandella stevensii. RNAcentral describes it as "partial 16S ribosomal RNA". It matches the Rfam family "Bacterial small subunit ribosomal RNA", at positions 338 to 795 of the family's 1533-position model. The record is from RNAcentral. Lineage: Bacteria; Pseudomonadati; Pseudomonadota; Gammaproteobacteria; Oceanospirillales; Halomonadaceae.